UACGUAGGGAGCGAGCGUUGUCCGGAAUCAUUGGGCGUAAAGAGCGCGUAGGUGGAUCAAUUAGUCUGCUGUGAAAGUCAAAGGCUCAACCUUUGAAAGCCGGUGGAUACUGUUGAUCUAGAGUACGGAAGAGGCGAGUGGAAUUCCUGGUGUAGCGGUGGAAUGCGCAGAUAUCCGGAGGAACACCAAUAGCGAAGGCAGCUCGCUGGGUCGUUACUGACGCUGAGGCGCGUAAGCGUGGGGAGCAAACAGG
Molecule: ribosomal RNA, 253 nt
Filed under: uncultured bacterium
Lineage: Bacteria
Description: partial 16S ribosomal RNA
Rfam family: Bacterial small subunit ribosomal RNA
Source: RNAcentral